GAGGCGCAUGCAGAUUGUGGUGACGCCAGAUUACACCUCGGUCACCAACAGCCGGGAGCGCUUCGUGGUGAUGGCAAUGAGCGCCAUGCUCCUGCUCAUCAGCUGCACGCUUUUCGCCGUCCUCUUCACGCUGCUCUCAGACGACAGAACGUCGGCUAAGUCCCAGGAGGAGAUUAAUGCUGUGUGCCUGGCCUUUAUUUUUACCGGACGCUGAUUAUUUGUGAGAUGAGAAAAGAACGUGCACUAUGACCAUUAAAGAAAGCAAG
Dermacentor silvarum is the source of this 266-nucleotide long non-coding RNA. RefSeq lists it as uncharacterized. Lineage: Eukaryota; Metazoa; Arthropoda; Arachnida; Ixodida; Ixodidae. The record is from RefSeq and is a predicted model, not a curated record. The transcript is spliced from 3 exons.